Molecule: long non-coding RNA, 1223 nt
Organism: Clupea harengus (Atlantic herring)
Lineage: Eukaryota; Metazoa; Chordata; Actinopteri; Clupeiformes; Clupeidae
Source: Ensembl
CCAGCAUAAAUGUAUCCAAGUCCAAAGAAGCAUUAAUCUGACCCUUUCCAACAGUCACCUAGAUAGAGUCUGUGUUUGUCUGUUUAUCUUUCAGUCUGUUCGUCCAUUUGUGUGUUUGUCUUUCUUUCUUUCUGUGUCCUGGAUAGAGAGUUGAAUUACCACAACCAGAAGAGCUGUAUUCUCUGUGUUCUGUGUUCUGUGUCCUGUGCUGUGGAUAUCUAGUGCUGGGUGAGAGAGGGGGACUGGUUGCUUGGUAAGAUGUCUGUCUUAUAUGGCUUGCAGUAGCUCAUUCCCAGGGGGCUGUCUGGUCUGGUCCGCCUGGGGGUGAUUUGUGAGAGUCGCUCACUCUUUCUUUCUUUCCAUUUUAUCAUUUUAUCAUGGUCAAUCUAUUUUAUUGAUGUCUACCCGUCUCAAGAAAACACCAUCACAAAUCUGUGUCAAAAACACUACUCGUCCCUGUCUCAAAAGCACCUCACAAACCUGUCUCAACAACACCUCACAAACCGGUAUCAAUAUGAGGGCGUGUGUGUCCAGAGUCACCCUGCUAUGAGUGUGUGUGUGUGUGUCCAGUGUUAGUCUAUGAGUGUGUGUGUGUGGCCAGUGUUAGUCUGCUAUGAGGGAGUGUGUCCAGUGUUAGUCUGCUAUGAGGGAGUGUGUGUGUGGCCAGUGUUAGUCUGCUAUGAGUGUGUGUCCAGUGUUAAUCUGCUAUGAGUGUGUGUCCAGUGUUAGUCCGCUAUGAGGGAGUGUGUGUGUCCAGUGUUAGUCUGCUAUGAGGGAGUGUGUGUGUGUGUCCAGUGUUAGUCUGCUAUGAGGGAGUGUGUGUGUCCAGUGUUAGUCUGCUAUGAGUGUGUGUGUCCAGUGUUACUCUGCUAUGAGGGAGUGUGUGUGUCCAGUGUUAGUCUGCUAUGAGUGUGUGUUAGUCUGCUAUGAGUGUGUGUGUGUGUGUCCAGUGUUAGUCUGCUAUGAGUGUGUGUUAGUCUGCUAUGAGUGUGUGUGUGUGUCCAGUGUUAGUCUGCUAUGAGUGUGUGUGUCCAGUGUUAGUCUGCUAUGAGGGAGUGUGUGUGUGCAGUGUUAGUCUGCUAUGAGUGUGUGUGUCCAGUGUUAGUCUGCUAUGAGGGAGUGUGUGUGUGUGAGGGUGUCGGCCAACCCCUCCCCUGCAGUAGCACUCCUGCAGACGAUGGCCUGGGCCUGCAGGGGACGGGGGGGGAGGGGGGCAUAGAUGG